AUUGAACGCUGGCGGCAGGCCUAACACAUGCAAGUCGGACGGUAGCACAGAGAGCUUGCUCUUGGGUGACGAGUGGCGGACGGGUGAGUAAUGUCUGGGGAUCUGCCCGAUAGAGGGGGAUAACCACUGGAAACGGUGGCUAAUACCGCAAAACGUCGCAAGACCAAAGAGGGGGACCUUCGGGCCUCUCACUAUCGGAUGAACCCAGAUGGGAUUAGCUAGUAGGCGGGGUAAUGGCCCACCUAGGCGACGAUCCCUAGCUGGUCUGAGAGGAUGACCAGCUACACUGGAACUGAGACACGGUGCAGACUCCUACGGGAGGCAGCAGUGGGGAAUAUUGCACAAUGGGCGCAAGCCUGAUGCAGCCAUGCCGCGUGGAUGAAGAAGGCCUUCGGGUUGUAAAGUACUUUCAGCGGGGAGGAAGGCGACGCGGUUAAUAACCGCGUCGAUUGACGUUACCCGCAGAAGAAGCACCGGCUAACUCCGUGCCAGCAGCCGCGGUAA
This 504-nucleotide ribosomal RNA is filed under the name uncultured bacterium. RNAcentral's name for it is "partial 16S ribosomal RNA". It matches the Rfam family "Bacterial small subunit ribosomal RNA", at positions 29 to 523 of the family's 1533-position model. The record is from RNAcentral.